AUGAAACACAAGUCUGAAACCUUUGAAAAGUUCAAGGAAUUUCAGAGUGAGGUGGAGAAUCAACGUGACAAAAAAAUAAAAUUCUUACGAUCAGAUCGUGGAGGAGAAUAUUUAAGUCACGAGUUUGGUACACACUUAUGGAAACGUGGAAUAGUUUCACAACUCACGCCGCCUGGAACACCUCAGCGAAAUGGUCUGUCCGAACGUCGUAAUCGCACUCUAUUGGAUAUGGUGCGAUCUAUGAUGUCUCUUACCGAUCUACCGCUCUCAUUUUGGGGCUAUGCUUUAGAGACUGCCGCAUUUACUUUAAAUAGGGCUCCGUCAAAAUCCGUUGAGACGACACCGUAUGAAUUAUGGUUUGGGAAGAAACCUAAGCUGUCGUUUCUAAAAGUUUGGGGAUGCGAUGCUGAUGUCAAGAAACUUCAACCUGAAAAGCUCGAAGCCAAGGCGGAAAAAUGCGUCUUCAUAGGAUACCCUAAGGAAAUCAUUGGGUAUACCUUCUACCUCAGAUCCGAAGGCAAGAUCUUUGUUGCCAAGAAUGGGUCCUUUCUGGAGAAAGAGUUUCUCUCGAAAGAAUUGAGUGGGAGGAAAGUAGAACUUGAUGAGGAGAUAGUCACCCCUUCCGAACCGGAAAGUAGCGCAACGCGGGAAGAUAUUCCUGUGGUGCCUACACCGACUGGGGAGGAAGUUAAUGAUGAUGAUCAUGAAGCUUCAGAUCAAGUUACUGCUGAACUUCGUAGGCCCACAAGGACACGUUCCGCACCAGAGUGGUACGGCAACCCUGUCCUGGGAAUCAUGUUGUUAGACAACGGUGAACCUUCG
This 822-nucleotide ribosomal RNA is filed under the name Triticum aestivum (bread wheat). RNAcentral describes it as "partial small subunit ribosomal RNA". Lineage: Eukaryota; Viridiplantae; Streptophyta; Magnoliopsida; Poales; Poaceae. The record is from RNAcentral.